AGGGUCAGCAUGUGCUAACUCAGCACCCCCUCCAUUGGAAUGGAUUGAAUGGGAAUCUCUUUCCCACAUUUAAGGUAUUCUUGUCAACAUUGCUUGGAUUCUUUUCAGUUCUUCUGCUCACAAGAACGGUGCACCAAUUGUUGUAGCCUUCAUUACCUAGGUUCAUCUACAUGUUGCUUAUUUAUAUUUAAUGCAAUUUUGGAAUCAUCAUAGCAGUUACCUCACUGGGUAGGGAACUUAUAGUCUCAGUCUAAGAUUUCCUCUAGUAUAUAUGUAGUUUAUAGUCCGAGACAGAAAAGAUUCUCUGUUUUCCUGCAUGGUAAAUGUCAAAUUAGUAUAUAGUAGUUCAAUGUAAAUGCCUUGUUUUGAAUUUAAUCCGUGCAAUUUACCUUAUAAACAUCCUAUGAUGUUUCCUCCAGGGAACAUCAAUAGAGAAGGGCUUGGAAGUUGACACCUCUUUAAAAUGGACGCAGCAAGGCCAAAAUACUUAUGGUGGGAGACCUACAGUGUGAUUCUUCUCUACCGCAGCAUCAUCAGGAUUCGGAAAUUCAGCAAUCACUAUCAACUGCACUUUGGAAGUGAAGCUUUAUCUUACCACCACUCACCAUCCCUGACCAACAUGAAUCUUUCACAUCAUUAUUGUAGUAGCUGAAAUUAGCUGGCCAGUAAAUGCAAAACAACCACCCAGAUAUCUUUCUUCCUUCGCUCAAGAUGAUACCAGUAGGGCAACAGAUUCGAUUACAACUAAUUGGGUUUAGUUUUGUUAGUUAGGAGAUGAGGCACUGAGUUUCUAAACAAGGCUAUGAAUCUUAUAACAAGAACUAUGUGAUUGCAAGCUGCUUAUUGGGCAUUUUCUUCUAUACUGCGUAAUACCGGUGCCUUGACAGUUGGGACUGUUAUGAUGAGAAUGUAUUUUUAUGGUUUUCAUUUUCAAAUAAUUUCUAUCUUUUAAUGGCUUCACAUUCUGUUAUUAAACCUUCUAAAGGAGGCUUCCUUGCUCAAAGUUGGUUCUUGAAAUUAGCAAGAACAGACUGGCAAAUUUUGGUCUCUUUUCAUUUCUGAAGCAUACUAGGUUGUCAUUGUAGCUCUUUGUUGAUAGAAAAUCAUACAAUAACUAUGCACUUUAGCCAUCUUGUCAAAACUUGUGUUCUUUGGCAGGAUUUAACCUUGUAACUUUGUGAUGUUGAUAAUUAUUCAUUUACUUGAUUGCUGCAGCUAACAAAAUCAGCCUAAAUGUACUUUUAAUGAGCUGCUUUCGCCCUACUCCAUUAAAUCAGACCAAUGAGUGAAUCACAUGAGGAUUAAAGGUUUUUCUUUAAUUUGGUGGAUUUGAAUGCAGGGAAAAAUAACUAAUGAGAGUGUUUUACGGUAUGAAACAGCUGUAACUCUUAUACAUUAAACUACAGGAAAGAUCAUGGUGCAAAAGUCGAGACAUAACAAAAUAAGUAAACUUGAAGUGUUGUUGGUGAAAGUUUGUCCAGUUGCUUUAAAGGGUAGUGGAAGUACUAUCAUCUGCAAUCCUCAGCUUUUGAUUUUAGAAUAAAAAGUAACAUGAAUUUUUCCCUUAUUUGUAAGUGUUAGCAAGUAGGGACGUAGUGUGGGCAGAAAAUGGCAAGCUAGUUACCCUUUCUCCUCAAUUAUUAGAAAGUGACUCUAUACAUUUUUUCCUGGACUGUAUGUCAAUUACCUCGACGCCUUUACAUCAGAAAUACUUUUCGCUUAUAAAAACUGCCUUGCUCAAAGUCUUCACGUCAUCACCAUAGUAGGCGACAGAUCAGUUAAAACAUCUUUUCGGCGGAAAAUUAUACUGCAUAUGUAAUAUCUUUAUUAAGAUUUUUGAUUUCAGCACUGGUCAGAUCAAUUGUUAUGAUCCUUGAUUGCCAGUUGGUUCUUUCCUUUCCUUCUGCAACAAAGUCUAGAGAGGAAGCCCCCACACUUUUGAUACUUUGAUUAGAGGCAGUGUUAAGGCUGUUUAUGGUAAAAAUCUUACGGUCUUAUGAAUAAUUUAGUGUAUUAAUCACCUAUCAACCAAACAUUCAACUAGAAAUUAUAAUUUAGUGUAUUAAUCACCUAUCAACCAAACAUUCAACUAGAAAUGUAAUAUGUAUGCACGUAUGACCAAACGACUAGAAUGUGUUAUAUAUAUAUAUAUAUAUAAAAAAAACUAGUUUCUGGACACGCACGUUGCGCGUGUAACCCUCAAGGAGAAAUGCACAAUUCCGGAAUUUAUAUAUGAAUGUUAAUCUCAUUUAAUGAACACGAUAAAGGAUGAAACCACACCCAACAGAAGUCCUCAAAACAUAAGCAGUGGAGAUGAUCCAUCAUGUGCUAUAUAAUUUUUAUUUAUGUUGGUACGUACAGCAUCUUAUUUGUUCAUUCCACUCGUGCCUUAUUAAUCUUUUGUGUGUAUGUUGGCUCAACAAUGUUGACAAAAUUGGAGGUGUUAGUCCUUAUACAUGUUCGACAACACAAAAGAAAAGGAUAAUUGGAAAAAAACACACUUAUUGAAAUACAUUCUUAACGUAAAAAUUCAACAGAGACCAACAAAAAUAUACUCAUAUGAAUUUUGUUGAUAAUGAAGAAAGCAAUAAGUUAAAAAAAAAAAAGAAAUAGAGAGAAAAAUGAACACAAGGCCGGGGAUGAAUGUGAGGUGCUCACAUGGUUCUUGGAUGGCUGAUACAGUUUUCUUCUAAAUGGAAAAGGAGAAAAUGCAUGUACAUGUUGGGAAUGUACGUAGAUGUUAGAAUCCCACACAAGGCAAUAGUAUUUCGUAAUGCUUAGAUAAUUUAAACUGAAUGCAAAAAGUUAACGCUAUCAUCUAGAUGCAUGAUACAAAUUUUCCAAGACAGAAAGCUUAAUAUAUAGGUCACAUGGAUCAAACUCAUUUUAAAAGCGUUAAAAAUUACAUACAAUAACUUCAAUUAGUGUCCAGUCACUAGCCUUUCAAAAGGGAAAUGUAUAGGCUGAAGAUGAAAUCGAAGACAUUCAAAAUAUCAGCCAUUAAUUUAAAAUAUUUUACCUGGUCGUUUAAGAGUUAAAAUAAUGAACUAUAUUAGUAGUAGUUAAGCAUAAUCUUAAGUGAAAAUGCAAGUUACCGGAAGCUUGGAAGGGCCAUCAAUCGAACACAUGCAACAGUUAAUUUAAAAAUAAAAUAAUAGCAGCAAAUUACCUCUGUCAUUACAACGUAAUUGGUGAAAUCAGAGCUUGAACCAGUCAACCACUCCCGAUCACACUAACAAUUUGUACUUUCGAGUAAUUAUUUCCCCAAAAUGCAAGAAAAUCAUGAAAAUCUCGAACCAAAUGAUAUAAGUUGAUACAGAGCUAAGGAGAAAAAAAUUGUAAAACCAGGUUUCAUUGCACUAACCAUCUGGCCUUUAAGUUUACACAAACCUGCAAGAGAAUGUAAAAGAAAUUAAAACAUAAGAAUGUUGAACCAAAUGAUUCGGUUGAUAUAUAUAUAGACCCAUAAGAUGAACAAUAAUAAAAACAUCUCUAUCCAACCGCUCUUUCUACGACGUAGCAUCCGUAUAAGUUAGCAAGUUAUCUGGUAAUUAAUUUGCAUCUCUAUCCAACGGCUCUUAAGGCAACAAAGAUAAAAACAUAAUCCCCUCUUCUGGGUGUGCAAACUUCAUAAACCUGCAUCAGACUCUUGAAGAAGUAACUGAGAAAAUCAUGUCUAACAUUAAUGUAAAGAAAAAACAAUUGACAUUCAUGUAUAUAUUGCAUACCUAAGAUGUCCAAUAAUGCUAUCUAUAUCUGUCCCCAUAAAUUGCAGCAUCACAAGGUCAAGGAUAUAAAAACUAAUAUCAAAAUAAGCUUAUCCAACUGUGCUUAUUUCUAUUGUUGUUUCCCGAGAUCAGGAGGCCAUGAGAAUAAAGAGGGCAGUAGGUGAAAUCCAAAGGACAAAAUAG
RNAcentral lists this long non-coding RNA (3911 nucleotides) under Nicotiana tabacum (common tobacco). RNAcentral's name for it is "long non-coding RNA (NTAB_LNC004461)". The record is from RNAcentral. Lineage: Eukaryota; Viridiplantae; Streptophyta; Magnoliopsida; Solanales; Solanaceae.